RNAcentral lists this long non-coding RNA (798 nucleotides) under Vulpes vulpes (red fox). Its description in RNAcentral is "lncRNA (ENSVVUG00000006680.1)". Lineage: Eukaryota; Metazoa; Chordata; Mammalia; Carnivora; Canidae. The record is from RNAcentral.
AUGUAUCACAUUGCCCUUAUCUCUUCAUCCACUGACAGACACUUAGAUUGUUUCCAUGUCUUGGUUACUGUGAAUAAUGCUGCCCUGAACAUGAGAGGACGAAUAUCUCCUUGGGGUCCCAUUUUCAUUUUCUUUGAGUCUAUACCCAAAACUGGGAUUGCUGGGUCACAUGGAAGUUUCAAUUUUUUGAGGAACCCCUAUACUGUUUUCUGCAGGGGCUAUACUAAUUUACAUUCCCAUCUGGUCCAUUCAGUCAUGAGAACUUUCCAGUUUCAGCUAUUAAAAUAUCCAGCUCAGCUGACCAACACAUAUUCAGAACUCUUACUCCACUGGGAACAUCUCCUUCCCUCUGUGCUACUCAGACUGGGAAACCCGAGGAGGAGCAGGCUGCGGCAUCCCAUUACUUGGUUCCCACACACUUUGGGAGAUGGAGGACAAGCCAACCAUCCCAAAACCACCUUGCAAGUCCUGUGUAUGCAGACUGGAUUCAACUUCACUUUGGAACAGAGGAUACUUGACACCUUUUUUCCUGCGACUCUAGAGGCCCGAGCCAUGACUGAGGUUCAUUUAAUCUGAUAGAUGGUGUAAACCGCCAAGUAACGCCGCUGGAAUCUCACGAAGAUGUGUAAUGCUGAGGCACCUGGGUGGCUCGGUUGGCGAAGCGUCUGCUUUUGGCUCAGGUCAGGAUCUCAGGGUCCUGGGAUCAAGCCCCACAAGGGGAGCCUGCUUCUCCCUCUGCCUCAGCCGCUCCCCCUGCUUGUGCUCUCUUUCUCUCUCAAAUAAAUAAAUAAAUAAAAC